RNAcentral lists this long non-coding RNA (2253 nucleotides) under Cairina moschata (Muscovy duck). RNAcentral's name for it is "domestica (muscovy Duck (domestic type)) lncRNA (ENSCMMG00000008099.1)". The record is from RNAcentral. Lineage: Eukaryota; Metazoa; Chordata; Aves; Anseriformes; Anatidae.
CUUGGACCCUACAGGACCAUUGCUGAUCUAACAACCUCGGUGUUGUUUUACUCCAGAUUCUCACUGGAAUUUCAGCCAGAACAGUGUCUCUCAGAGGUCUUGGAAAGUGUAGUGAGCAUGAAUCAUGAGUGUUUAUUUUGACAAGGAAAAAUCCUGUGACAAGGGUAGAGGAAGGAAAGACAAAGGAAUUAUUAUAACAAUAAGCUGAUGAAGACAUGAUAAAAUAUAUAAAAACAUGCAAGUAUAUAACAGGUAAAUUCUCACCUUGAACUUUUUCAGCUUAAUCAGUAAUAGGAUGAUCUCAUCACCGGAGCAGCAAUGAAGCCUUCAUAGGACAUUUGCCCAGCUGAAAUUCAAUAGCAAUAUCCUUGCUGGUUCAUCUCACCAAAGUGGAUUUUGCUGGCAUUAUUGGAGGCAGAAUCCCUUGGGACUAGGAAAAUUGUUGGAAUACUAAGCAUGACCAUGGAUAUCUAUUGCUCAUGGCUAACUUUGCUGGGAAGCAGAUGUUUGAGAAUUGUAGGCAUGAGCCUGAGACAUAAGUAAAUGCAGAUGGCAAUAGGCAUGGAGGAAACCACACAAGAACAUGAGCAUUAUCUGGCUACACCAGUAUCUCACAGAGAUGGAAGUUGGAAGCUUGCAAGCAAGACAGAAACCUUUACUAUCUCUGGUUUAUCAUCCCUAGGAUGCUCACCUCAUCCACUGUUUGCAAGGAAUCAGAAAAAAAAACAGCCUGGAGAUACACACUGAUUGCUAAAGCUAAGUAUUAAUAGCCUCCAUCCUCUAAAACAAAACAAAACAAAACACCAAAAUAAAGCAGCUAACACCUCAAGAAUUCUGAUUUUGGCUUAUAGCUUAGCCUCUCCAGAGAAAGUUAAUGGCAGAUAUCCUUCUCCUCUUACAGACAGACAACAUUGGAGAUACAACCAGAAUUUUUUGGCUGUUGGAAAAAUGUUUUGGUGUAUUUCGGUUUUCUCGUCAGAAGAGGAAUUUUAUAUAUCUGCCAAUGUAAUGAUCUGGGGAGAUGCAGAAACUCACUGAAGGUUUGUCCUUCAAACUAGAAUUUAUUUUCCAGACUAAGGAAGCAAAUGGAAAGACAGUUGAGGGCAAGAAGAUGGGUGUUUUUGCAGUAGCACAAGUCAGAUGUGAAAAAGGAGAUUAACAUAAUGCAUUUUGGUGGGAGUUCUUUUCCAGUUUAGAUCAUCUGUGUGGUACAUUUAUUAUGGUAUUUCCAUUAUAAACAAUAAUUUAAUAAAUAAAACAGAAUAAAACAAUUGCCAGUGCAGCAAUAGCUGCCUUUUUUUACAUCUUCCUGUCUCACUGUGAAAGAUCACUCACUAAACACUCCAUCUCUAAUUGUCAUUCCAGUUACUUAUUGUAUAUUAAAAGGAUGGGUCUCUUCAGAGCUUGUUUUAUGUCACUGGUUGGUGUGCUACGUAUUGUAUCAGUCUCCACAUGUACAUAUGAAGUCCUUCUCAAUUUGUUGAUUAUAAUGCCCUGGAGAGACAAAAUGGGUUUAUAUUUCAACACCAUGCACAUUAAUGGUUAACAAUGUCAUCAAAACAUGAUAUUCCCAUACUGAAAGUAGGUGAGUUGAAAGAAUGUGGCUGAUUGUGUGAGCUUGCUAAAAAGAUAUAGACACAGUUACUGAAGCUUUGAUAACAGUUAGAAUUAAGGAAGCACCAUAAAAUAAUAGAUGUCUUUUGUGCUUUUCCUGAUUCUAAGAUAUUUGUCAGAUCCGAGAAGACCCCAUGAAAGACUGUUGAAAUCAUCUGCUAUAGCCAGUGAUAGCAGCAGGAGAGUAGGCUGUGUUAUUGCUGGGAUACGAGGAAAGCAAAUCUAAUUAUAAAAAAAUUCCCAAUUACUAAUGCUGUUUAUCAAAAUCACACGUACACUUGUUCUCCAAGGCUCCUGCUUUGUUCUGUUAUGGAAGCCCACACAAAACAAACCUAAUUUUAAAAGUUAUCAAGGUAGACAAUGGGUUCAACACUCUCUUUGCAUAGAUGUAUAUGGUCAUCUCAGAGAAAAGCAGAGGGGAAACAGAUUCUCAAAUCUUUCACCACCAUGUUAAAUAGUGUUUUAAGACAUAAUUAUCAAAGAGGCAUUCUCCUUCUCCUUUCCCUGCUGUCUGCUCAGAAAUUUCAAAGAAUUGUUAAAGGGAUUUAAUAUAUAAUCAGAAAACUUGAAAAGUAGUCAACCUGUACAUUGGCAAUAUUGUUCAGAGUUGAGUGGGCCAUGAAAGAGACCUUAUUUCUC